Molecule: ribosomal RNA, 274 nt
Filed under: uncultured bacterium
Lineage: Bacteria
Description: partial 16S ribosomal RNA
Rfam family: Bacterial small subunit ribosomal RNA
Source: RNAcentral
AUACGAGGGGUGCAAGCGUUAUUCGGAAUCAUUGGGCGUAAAGGGUGCGUAGACGGCAUACUAAGUCAGUUGUUAAAUCUCUUGGCCUAACCAAGAGCCCGCGACUGAUACUGGUAAGCUAGAGGAUGGAAGAGAGAAGUGGAAUUCUCGGAGUAGCGGUAAAAUGCGUAGAUCUCGAGAGGAACACCAAUGGCGAAGGCAGCUUCUUGGUCCAUAUCUGACGUUGAGGCACGAAAGCGUGGGUAGCAAACAGGAUUAGAAACCCGUGUAGUCC